GGGACUGAGUCCUCCAGUGAAUCCUCUGAAAAUCCUCUGAACCUGGCUGCAGAUGAGGGAGAAGAGAGCCUAGAGAAUCUCAAGGGAAGAUUUGGGGCCAGAUCCAGAAGGGGCGUUCCUAACUCUUCCUAACACAUUCCAUGAGCUGGCCAGAACUCAGUCUCGCAGUCCACCUGGAUGCAAGAAUGGUGGGCUAGCAGUGUGUCCAGGAAGAAGACAACACGGGUCCUGCAAGUGAUUAACAGCUAAUCUUGUCAGCUAUUUUCAGAAUCUCUCCCCUUUCUCUUCUGACAUAAACUAUUUUCAUUGUAUCAAUUAGAGUUCUUGGUUGCAAGCAAAAGAAAUGGGCUCUGGUUGAUAAACAGAAAAGGAAUUUGUUGAAAGGGUAUAUAAGAAUUCACAGAUUGUAAAAGAAAAACAGGAGAACUAGGCUUGAAAAGGGCAUAAGAGACUUCCAGUUAAGGGUGGUGGAUUGAGCCAUAUGCCCUUUAGCCCCUUUUUUAUUUCUUCCAUCCUGCUGCCUGAAACUUGGCUAUAAUGGUUGCAUCUCCAGCAGCCAUUUUGUGAGCAUGAGGAAUCAUGGCAGACGAAAGCAAAUACUAAGGAUAGUGGAUUAAAACAUAGAAGGAACCUGGGUACUGAUGACCAUGAAGCCAUCAUACCAGUACUGGACCACCUUCCUCCAGAAGAACAGACAACAAAAAAUGGAUUAAGGCACAAGACCACCAGCCUGUGAUGGCUCAACCUGUGUUCUUCUGCUUGAUUGAUGGAGACCCGGAAUUCCUUAGGAAUUUGCAAUGGCUUUGCACUGAGUUGAAAUUAUGACUGCAAAACACUGGUUAAUAUUACAGAAAAACCCCAGACAAAGAAGUAAUCAAAGGCUACGGUCUUUGCAGGAAAAACAUAAGUUUUUGCCUGCAAUGAAAAGAUGAAUGGAUUAUAAACGCUGGCAACAGGCUCACUGAGUGAGAACUAUUCAGAACAAUCAUUAAUGGAGGUGCUGGCAUUAAGAAAAUGCUGAGCCCAGGAUGUUACUGAGUAGGACAAAGAUUUUACAUGAAGAGUCCUGGGAAUGGAAAGUAUUAUUCUUUUAAAUAUUUUUUUAUUUUUAAUUAUUAUGGAUACAGAAUAGUCAUGUAUAUUUAUGGGGUACAUGUGAUGUUUUGAUUCAGGUAUACAGUGUGUAAUAAUCCAAUCAGAAUAAUUGAGAUCCAUCACUUUAUGUGUUUGUCAUUUCUUUGUAUUAGGAACAUCCCAAUUUCACUGUUUUAGUUACUUUUGAAUAUACAAUACAUUAUUGCUAACUACAAUCUCCAGAUUGUGCCACUGAAUACAAUAUCUUAUUUAUUCCAGCUAAUUGUA
Molecule: long non-coding RNA, 1362 nt
Filed under: Homo sapiens (human)
Lineage: Eukaryota; Metazoa; Chordata; Mammalia; Primates; Hominidae
Description: HSALNT0188801
Source: RNAcentral